AUUUGAAGGCCUUCGGGUUGUAAAGCAGGUUGGCAGGAAAGAGGUCAUGGAGUUAAUACCCCGUGAAACUGACGGUACCUGCAGAAUAAGCACCGGCUAACUACGUGCCAGCAGCCGCGGUAAUACGUAGGGUGCAAGCGUUAAUCGGAAUACUGGGCGUAAAGCGUGCGCAGGCGGUUCGGAAAGAAAGAUGUGAAAUCCCAGAGCUUAACUUUGGAACUGCAUUAAUUAACUACCGGGCUAGAGUGUGUCAGAGGGAGGUGGAAUUCCGCGUGUAGCAGUGAAAUGCGUAGAUAUGCGGAGGAACACCGAUGGCGAAGGCAGCCUCCUGGGAUAACACUGACGCUCAUGCACGAAAGCGUGGGGAGCAAACAGGAUUAGAUACCCUGGUAGUCCACGCCCUAAACGAUGUCAACUAGCUGUUGGGGCCUUCGGGCCUUAGUAGCGCAGCUAACGCGUGAAGUUGACCGCCUGGGGAGUACGGUCGCAAGAUUAAAACUCAAAGGAAUUGACGGGGACCCGCACAAGCGGUGGAUGAUGUGGAUUAAU
RNAcentral lists this ribosomal RNA (549 nucleotides) under uncultured Achromobacter sp. Its description in RNAcentral is "bacterial SSU rRNA". It matches the Rfam family "Bacterial small subunit ribosomal RNA", at positions 406 to 950 of the family's 1533-position model. The record is from RNAcentral. Lineage: Bacteria; Pseudomonadati; Pseudomonadota; Betaproteobacteria; Burkholderiales; Alcaligenaceae.